GCCGGGGUGGCGGAACGGCAGACGCAGCGGACUCAAAAUCCGCCGGUAGCAAUACCGUGAGGGUUCGAGUCCCUCUCCCGGCACCA
RNAcentral lists this transfer RNA (86 nucleotides) under Burkholderiales bacterium. RNAcentral's name for it is "tRNA-Leu". It matches the Rfam family "tRNA". Rfam says of the family: Transfer RNA (tRNA) molecules are approximately 80 nucleotides in length. Their secondary structure includes four short double-helical elements and three loops (D, anti-codon, and T loops). Further hydrogen bonds mediate the characteristic L-shaped molecular structure. tRNAs have two regions of fundamental functional importance: the anti-codon, which is responsible for specific mRNA codon recognition, and the 3' end, to which the tRNAs corresponding amino acid is attached (by aminoacyl-tRNA synthetases). tRNAs cope with the degeneracy of the genetic code in two manners: having more than one tRNA (with a specific anti-codon) for a particular amino acid; and 'wobble' base-pairing, i.e. permitting non-standard base-pairing at the 3rd anti-codon position. The record is from RNAcentral. Lineage: Bacteria; Pseudomonadati; Pseudomonadota; Betaproteobacteria; Burkholderiales. RNAcentral also lists the same sequence under 1 other name.